UAUGUGUAGACUGGUAGGACGAAAAGGGUUGUCUGUGAUUCGGAGCUAAUAAAGUCGAUGUGCGAUAUCAGUGAAUAGGCUAAAAGCAUACCAGACAGUAUCAAAAUGGAGCCGAGCGACGAAUUCGUACCAAUCCCAUGCAAGGAAGAAGAACUACAAAACGAUAGCGACAUAGAAAAGCAGCUUAUGGAAAUGCUCACUGAUAUCAAACACAGCCCACCGAUUUCUGAGCCAGUAGUAAUGAACAAGGUUAUUCCAAUUGAAAUCGAAAUGGAAAUCACAAAUAUCCGUGAAGAGAUGGAUCCGCAACGCAUCAUAUUAUCACAUUCACUUUCAAUGUCGCCGAGUGUGUUGAGGGCUAGAUCUGAUAACGAGCCAGUGGAAUAUCGAAUCAACCAAGACGUGCUAGUGAGGCAUCCGGAUGGUAGAUUAUACCUCGGCACAGUGAUAGGCAUGCACGAUAUGCAAUACCAAGUGCAGUACGACGACAACAGGGUCGAAUGGACAAACAAAGAUGCUUUAAACAAGCUGGACAGUGAGGAUGCUAGAAUGAAGGAUUCGAUCUGCACGAUUUGCGAUGAACGUAAAAGUACUGAAAGAACAAGGAAUUGUUGCUUUUGCCUUCGGGGCUUCCAUACAAGCUGUCUGCCGUUUGACGAACGGUUAAUAAUAAUACAAUCUAAGCCUUGGUUCUCUGAUUGGCACUGCAAAGAUUGUCAUGAGAAAGUUACGCCAGAAGAGCGUACAUUGGAUUACUUCGAAGAAAGAGAUGUUCUUAACAAACGUAUCCAGAUGCCUCGUAUGCCGAUAUGGCCUGAAGGGCUCGAGCCACUUACCGACAGAAGUCAGUUGCCUUACAUAUUCGAUCGGCUAAUCUGGGAUCCGUUACAUCGUGUUAACACCAGCGGACAAUACUGUUACUGUGGUACAUUUGGCCUCUGGAAGCGUGAAAUGAUCAUGUGUCGCCGCUGUAAACAGUGGUUCCAUAGUCACUGUAUAAAAAGUUUACAGUUUCCCAUAUUUCUGGGUGACCCAUUCUACUUUUUCCUGUGUUCUAUCUGCAACCAUGGGCACGAAUUCGUUCGACGACUGGAAAUCUCUUGGCGAGACCUCGUUCAUCUUGUCCUCUAUAACUUAAUCAUGCGCACCGAUAAUCGAUAUUUCAGUGCUGAGAAUGCAAUUGCUCCCUAUAUAGAGGAAAACCUACGUACACUGCAGCUGCCGGAUCAUAUUCUUCGAAUGACAGUGCCUAAUCGUCUAAAGUCCAUCAUAAAAACUCUGAGAAAGAACAAAGAGAGCUUUAAGCAUUUAAAAACGAUUACGGAAGGCAAUGAAUUUCGAGGUGUUUGGUCGUUAAAACACAACUUUCCACCCGAUUUGCAGUUAUCUGAUGUCCCACAGGAUAACAUCAUAACUGAACAGAGCCUGAAAAGUCUAGGAUCGAGUGACCGUAGUGUGCGAUUUAUUACUCGCUCUUGGAUAGAACGAAGCUUAGUAAACGACGUGGAAUGUCGUGAGCUGAUGCAAGGCUUGAAAUACGCGUGUGAUUCACCUUCCCCUACCGAUUUCGUUCGAGAAUCGAGCGAUACAGACAGUUCUCAAGACAGCGAGCUCAGCUCAUCCAGUCCAAUGCCAGAUUUAGACCAGGAAAUGGAGGCUGCGGCUAGCAACAUUAAACAGCGACGCGGUAAAAAAUCAAAUCCUCUUCUCAGGCAAAAGACGCGCGGUCGGAAGGCGACAUUGCUUGGAAGAAAUGGUCAUCAAGGCACGACACAAGAAAAUUUUCCUAUCCAGUUGCCCCCGCUGGAUGAGUUGAUUCCCCGUCCAACGAACUAUGAAGGCAAGAAUAAUCCCUUUCACCCGCUGUUUAUGCAAAAAAGCAACCGAGACGCUCCUCCGACCAUAUCGGAUUUAGUAAAACCAAGCAGUAGUUCUACUGCCCCACUUCCCUCUGGCUCAAAGAGGCGCAAGUGCUACAGGCAACCGAUUGAGUAUCAUUUACACAAUGACACUACGAAGGAGGAGCCAAAUAAAGCCUCAAUUAUAACUAAUUCGGAUACGUCCACAAAGCACAACAAUGAUUCGUCAGCCGUUGGUAAUUGUGAGGAAUUCGAAUUAUUCCCCCAAAAGACUGUUCCGACCCAUAUGCAUAAAUUGCGGGAAAGAACAUGUAAAAUUAAUUAUUCGCUUACACGCACCUAUAAAAGGCGCGCAUCAUUAUGUGCUGAAAGUGCAACCACUAGUAUUGAUAUGGGUGAUUCCCACGCCAUGCAUGGCCCUAAGAGGCGACAUUCAGUAUGCGUCAACAGUACUAAAAUAGCAGAGUCCCAACCUACUGGGAUGAUCACGAGGCGAAUGUCAAUGUGCGCAGAUUUGUUUAGGAACAACAAUGAAUCGAUCGAGUUGCACCUAAACCAGAUUUCGACCAAGGGAAGACCUAAGGCUGAAAGAUCAGUAAGUAACAUCCAAAUUCUUGAAAAAGACUAUACGCUUACACGUAACAACAAAAGGCGCCGUUCAUCAGUAAAUGAAGAUGGCACAACCAGCAAUACCGAUACGGGCGACUCCCAGGUCUGCAAAAAAAGGCGACAAUCAGUAUGCGAGACUAUGAACGAUUAUAAAAACGUAAAGUCCAACAAAUCUGAUCAGUACAAAAGGCGGAUGUCAGUCUGCGAAGAAAUGUUUCGAUGCAACAAUGUUACGAGCUGGUCGCAAAUAGCCAUUUUAACAAAGGAAAAAGCAAAGGCGGAAAGAUCAAUAACACACAAAUCCAAUCCACGCAUUUCAAGAACGGCCUUGAUAGGUAAACGUACAUUUCCAAACGGAGAAGUACAACACCUUAUCAGCCAAAGGAUGGCAUGAGGCUGGCGGUUUAACGGGAAGUAAAAUAGUAUCCCUACAAUUGGCUUUGCAAUCGCUAGUGUGAUUAAUCGGAAUGCGAAGUUGUGCUGGAUUAGAGUAAUCCCGCAUGAAAAAAUGCAUACAAGGUGGCCAGUUAAUGCCCAGUUUAACACGCUAGUUUUCUGGGCCUGCCAUAUAAAGUGAUCAGUUAAACAUUAACCGGCUACCAUAUAUGCCUAUUUCUAUGUGAGAUCACCCAUCUGGUAGCGAAUCCCCUCUAUUGACACAUAGGCACCAUUCGGGUCCGUUACUGUCGUAACAGGCCCACAGAUAAAGCAAUUUCGGGUCUGUUAAACAUGAACAUACUCGAAUUGACCGAAGGGCAAAUUCAGACGUUAACAGAUCCGAAUGGUUUCUCUUUGUCAAUAGGGCCUGUACCCUUUGCAAGUGACAUCGCUGGAUUCAUUCAUUUAACUGAUAUUUGGAUCUAAGGAAAAGAAUCUGUUUAACGAAUUUGAAUUCCCACAAAAGCACGCAAAUGCGAUACAAGAAUGAAGCUUUAAACAGCAGCCGAUACAUUUUCUUAUGACUUUAAGAAGGUAAAUGUCGUCUCCAGUGCAUAUUGAUGGUUCAAUUUAAAGAACAGUUAAAGGAGGG
RNA transcript from Anopheles darlingi, 3498 nucleotides. It is a transcript of the gene named polycomb protein Pcl, with no coding region annotated. The record is from RefSeq and is a predicted model, not a curated record. The transcript has 6 exons. NCBI's taxonomy places the organism in Eukaryota, Metazoa, Arthropoda, Insecta, Diptera, Culicidae.